UGGCCUAACAACCACCUGCCAGACACAG
Molecule: non-coding RNA, 28 nt
Filed under: Rattus norvegicus (Norway rat)
Lineage: Eukaryota; Metazoa; Chordata; Mammalia; Rodentia; Muridae
Source: RNAcentral